Molecule: ribosomal RNA, 510 nt
Filed under: uncultured Roseibacillus sp.
Lineage: Bacteria; Pseudomonadati; Verrucomicrobiota; Verrucomicrobiia; Verrucomicrobiales; Verrucomicrobiaceae
Description: bacterial SSU rRNA
Rfam family: Bacterial small subunit ribosomal RNA
Source: RNAcentral
UUCUUAGUGGCGGACGGGUUAGUAACACGUGAGAAUCCUACCCUUGAGUGGGGAAUAGCCUUUCGAAAGGAAGAUUAAUGCCCCAUAGUCUCUACGGAGUAAAGAUGCCUUCGGGUGUCGCUUAAGGAUGGGCUCGCGGCCUAUCAGCUAGUUGGUGAGGUAAGAGCUCACCAAGGCAACGACGGGUAGCUGGUCUGAGAGGACGAUCAGCAACACUGGAACUGAGACACGGUCCAGACACCUACGGGUGGCAGCAGUCGAGAAUCAUUCACAAUGGACGAAAGUCUGAUGGUGCAACGCCGCGUGGAGGAUGACGGCCCUAGGGUUGUAAACUCCUGUCAUCAGGGAGUAAGACUUAUUCGUUAAUAGCGUGUAAGCUUGAUAGUACCUGAAGAGGAAGGGACGGCUAACUUCGUGCCAGCAGCCGCGGUAAUACGAAGGUCCCAAGCGUUGUUCGGAAUAACUGGGCGUAAAGCGUGUGUAGGCCGCGCGGAAAGUCGGAUGUGAAAG